AUAUUGGAGGGCAAGUCUGGUGCCAGCAGCCGCGGUAAUUCCAGCUCCAAUAGCGUAUAUUAAAGUUGUUGUGGUUAAAAAGCUCGUAGUUGGAUCUCAGCUUAUGUAUAAUGGUCCACUUGACGGUGGUUACUGUUAUGCUGAGCAUGAUACUAGAUUGUUCCUGUGGUGUUCUUAAUUGAGUGUCACAGGCGAUUAGUACGUUUACUUUGAAAAAAUUAGAGUGCUCAAAGCAGGCAUUAUAGCCUGAAUACUGUUGCAUGGAAUAAUAGAAUAGGACCUUGGUUCUGUUCUGUUGGUCUUUGGAAUCGAGGUAAUGAUUAACAGGGACUGACGGGGACAUUAGUACUGCGGCGAUAGAGGUGAAAUUCUUGGACCGCCGCAUGACUAACUAAAGCGAAAGCAUUUGUCAAGAAUGUUUUCAUUAAUCAAGAACGAA
RNAcentral lists this ribosomal RNA (439 nucleotides) under Lynxacarus radovskyi. RNAcentral's name for it is "SSU rRNA". It matches the Rfam family "Eukaryotic small subunit ribosomal RNA", at positions 545 to 987 of the family's 1831-position model. Lineage: Eukaryota; Metazoa; Arthropoda; Arachnida; Sarcoptiformes; Listrophoridae. The record is from RNAcentral.